CGGCAAAAUCGUUUUGAAACCCCGAUUCCCAUACGAUCAGCGAAGUUAAGCAACGUCGAUCAUGGUCUGUACUUAGAUGGGUGACCGUUUGGGGAUAUCAGACGUUGUAA
This is a non-coding RNA of Acanthosepion pharaonis, 110 nucleotides long. Lineage: Eukaryota; Metazoa; Mollusca; Cephalopoda; Sepiida; Sepiidae. The record is from the annotation of a GenBank genome assembly.